RNAcentral lists this ribosomal RNA (116 nucleotides) under Nannospalax galili (Upper Galilee mountains blind mole rat). Lineage: Eukaryota; Metazoa; Chordata; Mammalia; Rodentia; Spalacidae. The record is from RNAcentral.
UAUGGCCACACCUACAUUGAAUGGACCCAAUCUUAUUUGAUCUUGGAAGUUAAGCAUGGUCAGACCUGGUUAGUACUGACUGGGAAAAGUUUAAGAAGCACUGUUUUGAGCCAGUC